Molecule: ribosomal RNA, 562 nt
Filed under: Curvularia geniculata
Lineage: Eukaryota; Fungi; Ascomycota; Dothideomycetes; Pleosporales; Pleosporaceae
Description: eukaryotic LSU rRNA
Rfam family: 5.8S ribosomal RNA (bases 195-348)
Source: RNAcentral
UGCGGAGGGAUCAUUACACAAUAAACAUAUGAAGGCUGCACCGCCAACAGGCGGCAAGGCUGGAGUAUUUUAUUACCCUUGUCUUUUGCGCACUUGUUGUUUCCUGGGCGGGUUCGCCCGCCUCCAGGACCACAUGAUAAACCUUUUUUAUGCAGUUGCAAUCAGCGUCAGUACAACAAAUGUAAAUCAUUUACAACUUUCAACAACGGAUCUCUUGGUUCUGGCAUCGAUGAAGAACGCAGCGAAAUGCGAUACGUAGUGUGAAUUGCAGAAUUCAGUGAAUCAUCGAAUCUUUGAACGCACAUUGCGCCCUUUGGUAUUCCAAAGGGCAUGCCUGUUCGAGCGUCAUUUGUACCCUCAAGCUUUGCUUGGUGUUGGGCGUUUUUUGUCUUUGGUUUUGUCCAAAGACUCGCCUUAAAACGAUUGGCAGCCGGCCUACUGGUUUCGCAGCGCAGCACAUUUUUGCGCUUGCAAUCAGCAAAAGAGGACGGCACUCCAUCAAGACUCUAUAUCACUUUUGACCUCGGAUCAGGUAGGGAUACCCGCUGAACUUAAGCAUAUC